GGCAGAGACCUUCCGGGGAGAGACUGGGUGACCUGUGAUCAGACCCGCAACCCUGCUUCCCCGUGGGGUCCCCCCGCGACUGGGACUCCCAGUCUCAGGAUACAUGUGAGCAUCGUUGCAGCUCUGCACUGGUCAAGCCACAUUUGGGGACAGAGACCAAUAGAACUCUAGGGAAAAAAGAACCAGAAAGAACGACUGUUCUAGGCCUCAGCUCAAUGCACAUCCCAACCUUCCAAACCCAGCCUUGAACCGCAUAAAACACUCCACAGAACUGCAGUGCCAGGCAGGAAGGAAUGAACUACAACUUGGGGACCUGCGUGUGACUAGUACCUUUCGUGCUGAGGAGCAGUAGUUCAUCAUUGGAGCAAUUACCUGGACCUAGGAACCAAG
Molecule: long non-coding RNA, 390 nt
Organism: Meriones unguiculatus (Mongolian gerbil)
Lineage: Eukaryota; Metazoa; Chordata; Mammalia; Rodentia; Muridae
Exons: 3
Source: RefSeq, a predicted model, not a curated record